This 434-nucleotide ribosomal RNA is filed under the name uncultured bacterium. RNAcentral describes it as "partial 16S ribosomal RNA". It matches the Rfam family "Bacterial small subunit ribosomal RNA", at positions 29 to 507 of the family's 1533-position model. The record is from RNAcentral.
AGCGAACGCUGGCGGCAGGCCUAACACAUGCAAGUCGAACGAACCUUUCGGGGUUAGUGGCGGACGGGUGAGUAACACGUGGGAACGUGCCUUUAGGUUCGGAAUAACUCAGGGAAACUUGUGCUAAUACCGAAUGUGCCCUUCGGGGGAAAGAUUAAUCGCCUUUAGAGCGGCCCGCGUCUGAUUAGCUAGUUGGUUGAGGUAAUGGCUCACCAAGGCGACGAUCAGUAGCUGGUCUGAGAGGAUGAUCAGCCACAUUGGGACUGAGACACGGCCCAAACUCCUACGGGAGGCAGCAGUGGGGAAUCUUGCGCAAUGGGCGAAAGCCUGACGCCGCCAUGCCGCGUGAAUGAUGAAGGUCUUAGGAUUGUAAAAUUCUUUCACCGGGGACGAUAAUGACGGUACCCGGAGAAGAAGCCCCGGCUAACUUCGUG